RNAcentral lists this transfer-messenger RNA (348 nucleotides) under Candidatus Wolfebacteria bacterium. It matches the Rfam family "transfer-messenger RNA". Rfam says of the family: Bacterial tmRNA, also known as 10Sa RNA or SsrA, is named for its dual tRNA and mRNA-like properties. Its role is to liberate the mRNA from a stalled ribosome. To accomplish this part of the tmRNA is used as a reading frame that ends in a translation stop signal. The record is from RNAcentral. Lineage: Bacteria; Candidatus Wolfeibacteriota.
GGGAAUGUCAGGAAUCGAUGGCAUUACUUUUAUAAAAUUGCAAGCCGAGGAUGAUUCGUUACCUCGCUAAUCACCGAAUCAAAAUCAUAACUGCCAAUAGAACUUUGGCUCCCGCUUUCGCUUUUGCCUAAGCGGCAUCCUUUAUCGAUUGCUCAGCUCGAUAAAAGGGUGUCAUAAUUUGAGCUUACUCGUCUAAAUCGCCUAAUUUAAACGAGGACAUUUUACGGCAAAGAAUUUAGAUUCUUUUCUGGGUUGUAGGUCUAAGUUCUAAAUUCUAACCCAGAUAAGCUUGUAGAGAUUUUAUAAAGGUAUUGUCAGACGCGGGUUCAAUACCCGCCAUUUCCACAA